RNAcentral lists this transfer RNA (68 nucleotides) under Pristimantis fenestratus (Rio Mamore robber frog). RNAcentral's name for it is "tRNA-Lys". Lineage: Eukaryota; Metazoa; Chordata; Amphibia; Anura; Strabomantidae. The record is from RNAcentral.
CGUUAAGAAGCUUUAAGUAAGCAACAACCUUUUAAGUUGAAGAUGGUGCCUACAACCACCCUUAAUGA